RNAcentral lists this non-coding RNA (231 nucleotides) under Loigolactobacillus backii. RNAcentral's name for it is "Lactobacillus backii T-box sequence". It matches the Rfam family "T-box leader". From Rfam's summary of the family: Uncharged tRNA acts as the effector for transcription antitermination of genes in the T-box leader family. T-boxes are found upstream of many aminoacyl-tRNA synthetase genes and some amino acid biosynthetic genes usually in Gram-positive bacteria. The anticodon of a specific tRNA base pairs to a specifier sequence within the T-box motif, and the NCCA acceptor tail of the tRNA base pairs to a conserved bulge in the T-box antiterminator hairpin. Lineage: Bacteria; Bacillati; Bacillota; Bacilli; Lactobacillales; Lactobacillaceae. The record is from RNAcentral.
AUAAAAACAGUGAACGGAUAAGUAACCCUGAUAGUUCUGUAGAGAGUUUCUGGUUGGUGUAAAGAAAUGACUAUUGGUGGUGAAAACACAUCUGGGAGUUUACCUGCUGAAGAUAGUAAGCAAGUACGGGAUAAGCCCGUUAUAGCUGUAGUUACUAAUAAACUACUUGAGGUAACUGGUGUGAGCUAGUUACGAACUUGAGGUGGAACCGCGAUAAUUUUCGUCCUCUUA